Molecule: ribosomal RNA, 497 nt
Filed under: uncultured bacterium
Lineage: Bacteria
Description: partial 16S ribosomal RNA
Rfam family: Bacterial small subunit ribosomal RNA
Source: RNAcentral
GAUGAACGCUGGCGGCGUGCCUAACACAUGCAAGUCGAGCGGACGGAUGAGAAUCACUCCUCGCUUUUGGUAGGGGCGGAGGGGUGAGUAACAGGUGUGUACCGUAUAUAUAGGAAUAGCGUAAUUUGGGGAAAACGGAGCUCAUACACGAUGAGAUGUUGAACGGGAGGGAUCAAAAGAACUAGAUGGUCUAGGUGUGACUAAUGCAUGAGUACGCGCUGCAUGAGCUAGGGAGUAAGGUAGCGGCAUACCAAGGCUACGAUGCAUAGCCGACCUGAGAGGGUGAUCUGCCACACUGGAACUGAGACACGGUCCAGACUCCUACGGGAGGCAGCAGUAGGGAAUCUUCCGCAAUGGGCGAAAGCCUGACGGAGCAACGCCGCGUGAGUGAUGAAGGUCUUCGGAUCGUAAAACUCUGUUAGUAGGGAGGAAGAUAUGUGUAAUUAACUGUGCACAUCUUGACGGUACCUAAUCAGAAAGCCACGGCUAACUACGUG